AGGGAGCCUCAGAAACGGCUACCACAUCCAAGGAAG
RNAcentral lists this ribosomal RNA (36 nucleotides) under Pelobates cultripes (western spadefoot toad). RNAcentral's name for it is "SSU_rRNA_eukarya". Lineage: Eukaryota; Metazoa; Chordata; Amphibia; Anura; Pelobatidae. The record is from RNAcentral.